GUGAGGAUUACUCCUUCAAACAUAUGCGUAAAAACCAGUAUGAAGAGAGCCUUUUCCGAUGUGAAGAUGACAGGUUUGAACUCGACAUGUUACUGGAGUCUGUCAAUGUGACUACUAAGCGUGUUGAAGAACUCCUUGAAAAGAUCAACAACAAUGUGAUCAAAGCAGACUGUCCAAUCGCAAUUGAGGAUCACCUCACUGCUCUAAAUCUGAGGUGCAUUGAACGGUUAUACGGUGACCAUGGGCUUGAUGUUAUGGAUGUGUUGAGGAAGAAUGCACCUCUUGCUCUGCCAGUUAUUUUGACCCGACUGAAGCAGAAACAGGAAGAAUGGGC
This 334-nucleotide unclassified non-coding RNA is filed under the name Hevea brasiliensis (rubber tree). Lineage: Eukaryota; Viridiplantae; Streptophyta; Magnoliopsida; Malpighiales; Euphorbiaceae. The record is from RNAcentral.